Molecule: ribosomal RNA, 465 nt
Filed under: uncultured Klebsiella sp.
Lineage: Bacteria; Pseudomonadati; Pseudomonadota; Gammaproteobacteria; Enterobacterales; Enterobacteriaceae
Description: bacterial SSU rRNA
Rfam family: Bacterial small subunit ribosomal RNA
Source: RNAcentral
CCUACGGGUGGCUGCAGUGAGGAAUAUUGCACAAUGGGCGCAAGCCUGAUGCAGCCAUGCCGCGUGUGUGAAGAAGGCCUUCGGGUUGUAAAGCACUUUCAGCGGGGAGGAAGGCGGUGAGGUUAAUAACCUCAUCGAUUGACGUUACCCGCAGAAGAAGCACCGGCUAACUCCGUGCCAGCAGCCGCGGUAAUACGGAGGGUGCAAGCGUUAAUCGGAAUUACUGGGCGUAAAGCGCACGCAGGCGGUCUGUCAAGUCGGAUGUGAAAUCCCCGGGCUCAACCUGGGAACUGCAUUCGAAACUGGCAGGCUAGAGUCUUGUAGAGGGGGGUAGAAUUCCAGGUGUAGCGGUGAAAUGCGUAGAGAUCUGGAGGAAUACCGGUGGCGAAGGCGGCCCCCUGGACAAAGACUGACGCUCAGGUGCGAAAGCGUGGGGAGCAAACAGGAUUAGAUACCCGUGUAGUC